GAUGAACGCUGGCUACAGGCUUAACACAUGCAAGUCGAGGGGAAACGGCGUUGAGUGCUUGCACUGAAUGGACGUCGACCGGCGCACGGGUGAGUAACGCGUAUCCAACCUUCCCGUUACUGCGGGAUAACCUGCCGAAAGGCAGACUAAUACCGCAUGUUCUUCGAUGACGGCAUCAGAUUCGAAGCAAAGACUCGUCGGUAACGGAGGGGGAUGCGUCUGAUUAGCUUGUUGGCGGGGCGACGGCCCACCAAGGCGACGAUCAGUAGGGGUUCUGAGAGGAAGGUCCCCCACAUUGGAACUGAGACACGGUCCAAACUCCUACGGGAGGCAGCAGUGAGGAAUAUUGGUCAAUGGGCGGAAGCCUGAACCAGCCAAGUAGCGUGCAGGACGACGGCCCUACGGGUUGUAAACUGCUUUUAUGCGGGGAUAAAGUGAGGGACGCGUCCCUUUUUGCAGGUACCGCAUGAAUAAGGACCGGCUAAUUCCGUGCCAGCAGCCGCGGUAAUACGGAAGGUCCGGGCGUUAUCCGGAUUUAUUGGGUUUAAAGGGAGUGUAGGCCGGGGAUUAAGUGUGUUGUGAAAUGUAGGCGCCCAACGUCUGACUUGCAGCGCAUACUGGUUCCCUUGAGUACGCGCAACGCCGGCGGAAUUCGUCGUGUAGCGGUGAAAUGCUUAGAUAUGACGAAGAACCCCGAUUGCGAAGGCAGCCGGCGGGAGCGCAACUGACGCUGAAGCUCGAAGGUGCGGGUAUCGAACAGG
RNAcentral lists this ribosomal RNA (761 nucleotides) under uncultured Prevotella sp. RNAcentral describes it as "bacterial SSU rRNA". It matches the Rfam family "Bacterial small subunit ribosomal RNA", at positions 28 to 776 of the family's 1533-position model. Lineage: Bacteria; Pseudomonadati; Bacteroidota; Bacteroidia; Bacteroidales; Prevotellaceae. The record is from RNAcentral.